Cyanistes caeruleus (blue tit) is the source of this 1011-nucleotide long non-coding RNA. RefSeq lists it as uncharacterized. NCBI's taxonomy places the organism in Eukaryota, Metazoa, Chordata, Aves, Passeriformes, Paridae. The record is from RefSeq and is a predicted model, not a curated record.
GCUGGGCUGGAGGCAGCUCUUGGCUUUCCCGUCCUCUGGAGCCCUAAGCUUGACUCCCCUUCCACGCUGCUCAGCUGGGACCUGGUGGGAAGGAAAUGGCUGCUUUGGGGAAGUUUAUUCUGUACACAGCAAUUCUUUUGUCUUGUCCUUUUCUCUUCUGCUCUCCCCAAAGCAGAGGUGAAGGCUGCUUGGCCUGGCUCGGCCUGUGGCUCUGUACCUUUGUACUCUGUGUUCAGGCUUUUGUGUUGCCUUGGGCUAAGCAGCUGUGAGGGGAGUGGAACUGCAUAGAUGUGUGGCUGCAGUGGUGUCUCUUUUGUCCAGAUAAAAAGCUUCAAACAACAUGGAAAAAAGAACUUGUUCUGAAAGCCUGAAAGUGCUGCAUGGACUGUCCUGAAAUGCCAACUGCCUGUCAGUGUCAUCCAUCAAGGGUCGAGCAAGGACUCGCUGUGACAGACACCUCUGCCUUAAAGGUUGCCUGAAGUGCCUGUACUGAUCCCGGCGCGGUGUUACCUGGCGCAACAGCAAACUGCAUCGGUGUCAGCACUCCUGAUACCAACAGGCAAAGGAACACAGCCCUGGAACUCAGGCAGCUCUGUCCCUGCCUCUGGGUGACCUUAGAGAAAUGCUUUGUAGCCUCUCUGCUUCAGAGUCCCCUCCCCUAUCUAGAGAAGAAAUCCAGUGUACCCCCAGCUGGAUAGCUGCAGCAGAGAUACAGCACAUCACCUGGGGCCUGUAAUUUAAAACUAGGUUUCCUGAUUCUUUACUAAUUUCACUAUCACAAAUCUAUAUUUUUUCAGUCAGAAAUUUAAAAAUCAGAGUAAGCAGAUUGGGGCUGGAAGGAUUAAUAUGUUUCCUUUGAUACUAGAAUUCUGGUAUUUGGACUGUGCACUGCAUUUCUUUCCUCAACGACUGCAUAUAAAAUGCUAUUUGCUGACUUCUCAUCUAUAUAAUUAAAGCAAGCCCAAUUAUCAGAAGGAUUCUUAUGAGGCUUAGCUGCUCUCCUACAUAUUC